CUUUCUAAGGAAGAUGU
RNAcentral lists this ribosomal RNA (17 nucleotides) under Candidatus Liberibacter asiaticus. RNAcentral describes it as "partial 16S ribosomal RNA". Lineage: Bacteria; Pseudomonadati; Pseudomonadota; Alphaproteobacteria; Hyphomicrobiales; Rhizobiaceae. The record is from RNAcentral.